GAUGAACGCUGGCGGCGUGCCUAAUACAUGCAAGUCGAGCGAACAGACGAGGAGCUUGCUUCUCUGACGUUAGCGGCGGACGGGUGAGUAACACGUGGAUAACCUACCUAUAAGACUGGGAUAACUUCGGGAAACCGGAGCUAAUACCGGAUAAUAUAUUGAACCGCAUGGUUCAAUAGUGAAAGACGGUUUUGCUGUCACUUAUAGAUGGAUCCGCGCCGCAUUAGCUAGUUGGUAAGGUAACGGCUUACCAAGGCAACGAUGCGUAGCCGACCUGAGAGGGUGAUCGGCCACACUGGAACUGAGACACGGUCCAGACUCCUACGGGAGGCAGCAGUAGGGAAUCUUCCGCAAUGGGCGAAAGCCUGACGGAGCAACGCCGCGUGAGUGAUGAAGGUCUUCGGAUCGUAAAACUCUGUUAUUAGGGAAGAACAAAUGUGUAAGUAACUAUGCACGUCUUGACGGGACCUAAUCAGAAAGCCACGGCUAACUACG
This 495-nucleotide ribosomal RNA is filed under the name uncultured bacterium. Its description in RNAcentral is "partial 16S ribosomal RNA". It matches the Rfam family "Bacterial small subunit ribosomal RNA", at positions 28 to 505 of the family's 1533-position model. The record is from RNAcentral.